Molecule: ribosomal RNA, 477 nt
Filed under: uncultured bacterium
Lineage: Bacteria
Description: partial 16S ribosomal RNA
Rfam family: Bacterial small subunit ribosomal RNA
Source: RNAcentral
GAUGAACGCUGGCGGCGUGCUUAACACAUGCAAGUCGAACGAGAAAUGUAGACGGACACCUUCGGGCGGAAGCCUUCAUUUCGAGUGGCGGACGGGUGAGUAACGCGUGGGUAACCUGCCUCAUACAGGGGGAUAACAGUUGGAAACGACUGUUAAUACCGCAUAAGACCACAGCAUCGCAUGAUGCGGGGGUAAAAACUCGGUGGUAUGAGAUGGACCCGCGUUCGAUUAGCCAGUUGGCGGGGUAACGGCCCACCAAAGCGACGAUCGAUAGCCGAUCUGAGAGGAUGACCGGCCACAUUGGGACUGAGACACGGCCCAAACUCCUACGGGAGGCAGCAGUGGGGAAUAUUGCACAAUGGGGGAAACCCUGAUGCAGCGACGCCGCGUGAGUGAAGAAGUACUUCGGUAUGUAAAGCUCUAUCAGCAGGGAAGAAAAUGACGGUACCUGAGUAAGAAGCCCCGGCUAACUACGUG